RNAcentral lists this ribosomal RNA (384 nucleotides) under Klebsiella pneumoniae. Its description in RNAcentral is "bacterial SSU rRNA". It matches the Rfam family "Bacterial small subunit ribosomal RNA", at positions 1 to 379 of the family's 1533-position model. The record is from RNAcentral. Lineage: Bacteria; Pseudomonadati; Pseudomonadota; Gammaproteobacteria; Enterobacterales; Enterobacteriaceae.
ACUUAAAUUGAAGAGUUUGAUCAUGGCUCAGAUUGAACGCUGGCGGCAGGCCUAACACAUGCAAGUCGAGCGGUAGCACAGAGAGCUUGCUCUCGGGUGACGAGCGGCGGACGGGUGAGUAAUGUCUGGGAAACUGCCUGAUGGAGGGGGAUAACUACUGGAAACGGUAGCUAAUACCGCAUAACGUCGCAAGACCAAAGUGGGGGACCUUCGGGCCUCAUGCCAUCAGAUGUGCCCAGAUGGGAUUAGCUAGUAGGUGGGGUAACGGCUCACCUAGGCGACGAUCCCUAGCUGGUCUGAGAGGAUGACCAGCCACACUGGAACUGAGACACGGUCCAGACUCCUACGGGAGGCAGCAGUGGGGAAUAUUGCACAAUGGGCGCA